Molecule: ribosomal RNA, 1224 nt
Filed under: Vibrio cholerae
Lineage: Bacteria; Pseudomonadati; Pseudomonadota; Gammaproteobacteria; Vibrionales; Vibrionaceae
Description: bacterial LSU rRNA
Rfam family: Bacterial large subunit ribosomal RNA
Source: RNAcentral
GUUGUAUGGUUAAGUGACUAAGCGUACACGGUGGAUGCCUGGGCAGUCAGAGGCGAUGAAGGACGUACUAACUUGCGAUAAGCGCAGAUAAGGCAGUAAGAGCCGUUUGAGUCUGCGAUUUCCGAAUGGGGAAACCCAACUGCAUAAGCAGUUACUGUUAACUGAAUACAUAGGUUAACAGAGCAAACCGGGGGAACUGAAACAUCUAAGUACCCCGAGGAGAAGAAAUCAACCGAGAUUCCGGUAGUAGCGGCGAGCGAACCUGGAUUAGCCCUUAAGCACUCGGUGAAGUAGGUGAACAAGCUGGAAAGCUUGGCGAUACAGGGUGAUAGCCCCGUAACCGACGCUUCAUCGAGCGUGAAAUCGAGUAGGGCGGGACACGUGAUAUCCUGUCUGAAUAUGGGGGGACCAUCCUCCAAGGCUAAAUACUCCUGACUGACCGAUAGUGAACCAGUACCGUGAGGGAAAGGCGAAAAGAACCCCUGUGAGGGGAGUGAAAUAGAACCUGAAACCGUGUACGUACAAGCAGUAGGAGCACCUUCGUGGUGUGACUGCGUACCUUUUGUAUAAUGGGUCAGCGACUUAUAUUCAGUGGCAAGGUUAACCGUAUAGGGGAGCCGUAGCGAAAGCGAGUCUUAACUGGGCGCUCAGUCUCUGGAUAUAGACCCGAAACCGGGUGAUCUAGCCAUGGGCAGGUUGAAGGUUGAGUAACAUCAACUGGAGGACCGAACCGACUAAUGUUGAAAAAUUAGCGGAUGACUUGUGGCUAGGGGUGAAAGGCCAAUCAAACUCGGAGAUAGCUGGUUCUCCCCGAAAGCUAUUUAGGUAGCGCCUCGGACGAAUACUACUGGGGGUAGAGCACUGUUAAGGCUAGGGGGUCAUCCCGACUUACCAACCCUUUGCAAACUCCGAAUACCAGUAAGUACUAUCCGGGAGACACACGGCGGGUGCUAACGUCCGUCGUGGAGAGGGAAACAACCCAGACCGCCAGCUAAGGUCCCAAAGUAUUGCUAAGUGGGAAACGAUGUGGGAAGGCUCAGACAGCUAGGAUGUUGGCUUAGAAGCAGCCAUCAUUUAAAGAAAGCGUAAUAGCUCACUAGUCGAGUCGGCCUGCGCGGAAGAUGUAACGGGGCUAAGCAAUACACCGAAGCUGCGGCAAUGUCUUUUAGACAUUGGGUAGGGGAGCGUUCUGUAAGCCGUUGAAGGUGAAUCGUAAGGUUUGCU